UGCCAGCCGCCGCGGUAAUACGGAGGGAGCGAGCGUUAAUCGGAAUUACUGGGCGUAAAGCGCGCGUAGGCGGCUUUGUAAGUCGGAUGUGAAAGCCCUGGGCUCAACCUGGGAAUGGCAUUCGAUACUGCAUGGCUAGAGUAUGGUAGAGGGAAGUGGAAUUUCCGGUGUAGCGGUGAAAUGCGUAGAUAUCGGAAGGAACACCAGUGGCGAAGGCGACUUCCUGGACAGAUACUGACACUGAGGCACGAAAGCGUGGGGAGCAAACAGGAUUAGAUA
RNAcentral lists this ribosomal RNA (279 nucleotides) under uncultured bacterium. RNAcentral's name for it is "partial 16S ribosomal RNA". It matches the Rfam family "Bacterial small subunit ribosomal RNA", at positions 506 to 784 of the family's 1533-position model. The record is from RNAcentral.